RNAcentral lists this ribosomal RNA (206 nucleotides) under uncultured bacterium. RNAcentral describes it as "partial 16S ribosomal RNA". It matches the Rfam family "Bacterial small subunit ribosomal RNA", at positions 568 to 774 of the family's 1533-position model. The record is from RNAcentral.
CGCGUAGGCGGACAUUUAAGUCAGGGGUGAAAUCCCGGGGCUCAACCCGGAACUGCCCUUGAUACUAGGUGUCUUGAGUUCGAGAGAGGUGAGUGGAAUUCCGAGUGUAGAGGUGAAAUUCGUAGAUAUUCGGAGGAACACCAGUGGCGAAGGCGGCUCACUGGCUCGAUACUGACGCUGAGGUGCGAAAGUGUGGGGAGCAAACA